UUUAUAAGAAGCUAAAGAAAAAAAUCUUCGUCAACUAUGGUGCAACCUAUGUAUCAUCCUAGGGAAGAAGGAACGGAUGCCAUGACCCAAGUCCCAGCAGUAAUGGAAAACUCAGACAGGCAACUAAUAGCCAAAGCUCCAUGUGACUUCAAGCCUUUCUCCCCACCAAGAUGCCCAGCAUUCCACCAUAGGAGACACCAAGGCAUUGCCUGAAGAAGAAUCCCUUCAAAAUUCAAAAACAGUGCACAAUUCUGAGAUGCACACUGCGUCAUACUGAAAAUGUCUUUAAAAUCAAGCCCUAACAAACACGCUGCAUUCUUGAAA
Long non-coding RNA from Peromyscus leucopus (white-footed mouse), 324 nucleotides. RefSeq lists it as uncharacterized. The record is from RefSeq and is a predicted model, not a curated record. NCBI's taxonomy places the organism in Eukaryota, Metazoa, Chordata, Mammalia, Rodentia, Cricetidae. The transcript is spliced from 2 exons.